CCUACGGGAGGCAGCAGUGAGGAAUAUUGGUCAAUGGGCGGGAGCCUGAACCAGCCAAGCCGCGUGAAGGAAGAAGGCGCCAGGCGUCGUAAACUUCUUUUGUCGGGGAACAAAAUGCGCCACGCGUGGCGUUUUGAGUGUACCCGAAGAAAAAGCAUCGGCUAACUCCGUGCCAGCAGCCGCGGUAAUACGGAGGAUGCGAGCGUUAUCCGGUUUUAUUGGGUUUAAAGGGUGCGUAGGCGGUUCGGAAAGUCAUCGGUAAAAGCCCGGGGCCCAACCCCAGCGAGCCGUUGAAAAUGUCGGACUAGAGAACGGGAGAGGUACGCGGAAUGCGUGGUGUAGCGGUGAAAUGCAUAGAUAUCGCGCAGAACUCCGAUUGCGAAGGCAGCGUACCGG
This 396-nucleotide ribosomal RNA is filed under the name uncultured bacterium. Its description in RNAcentral is "partial 16S ribosomal RNA". It matches the Rfam family "Bacterial small subunit ribosomal RNA", at positions 338 to 732 of the family's 1533-position model. The record is from RNAcentral.